CACGUAGGGGGCGAGCGUUGUCCGGAUUUACUGGGCGUAAAGCGCACGUAGGCGGAUCGAUCAGUCAGGGGUGAAAUCCCAGAGCUCAACUCUGGAACUGCCUUUGAUACUGUCGAUCUGGAGUAUGGAAGAGGUGAGUGGAAUUCCGAGUGUAGAGGUGAAAUUCGUAGAUAUUCGGAGGAACACCAGUGGCGAAGGCGGCUCACUGGUCCAUUACUGACGCUGAGGUGCGAAAGCGUGGGGAGCAAACAGG
This 253-nucleotide ribosomal RNA is filed under the name uncultured bacterium. RNAcentral describes it as "partial 16S ribosomal RNA". It matches the Rfam family "Bacterial small subunit ribosomal RNA", at positions 524 to 776 of the family's 1533-position model. The record is from RNAcentral.